This 88-nucleotide transfer RNA is filed under the name Fastidiosipila sp. RNAcentral's name for it is "tRNA-Leu". It matches the Rfam family "tRNA". From Rfam's summary of the family: Transfer RNA (tRNA) molecules are approximately 80 nucleotides in length. Their secondary structure includes four short double-helical elements and three loops (D, anti-codon, and T loops). Further hydrogen bonds mediate the characteristic L-shaped molecular structure. tRNAs have two regions of fundamental functional importance: the anti-codon, which is responsible for specific mRNA codon recognition, and the 3' end, to which the tRNAs corresponding amino acid is attached (by aminoacyl-tRNA synthetases). tRNAs cope with the degeneracy of the genetic code in two manners: having more than one tRNA (with a specific anti-codon) for a particular amino acid; and 'wobble' base-pairing, i.e. permitting non-standard base-pairing at the 3rd anti-codon position. Lineage: Bacteria; Bacillati; Bacillota; Clostridia; Eubacteriales; Oscillospiraceae. The record is from RNAcentral.
GCUCGUGUGGCGGAAUUGGCAGACGCAGCGGACUUAAAAUCCUCCGGUCACUUAGACCGUGCCGGUUCGAGUCCGGCCACGAGCACCA